This 394-nucleotide ribosomal RNA is filed under the name uncultured Symbiodinium. RNAcentral's name for it is "partial Bacterial small subunit ribosomal RNA". It matches the Rfam family "Bacterial small subunit ribosomal RNA", at positions 294 to 705 of the family's 1533-position model. Lineage: Eukaryota; Dinophyceae; Suessiales; Symbiodiniaceae. The record is from RNAcentral.
GAGAGGAUGAUCAGCCACACUGGCACUGAGACACGGCCCAGACUCCUACGGGAGGCAGCAGUGGGGAAUCUUGGACAAUGGGCGCAAGCCUGAUCCAGCCAUUCCGCGUGGAUGAUGAAGGCCCUAGGGUUGUAAAAUCCUUUCGGCAGGGAAGAUAAUGACGGUACCUGCUAAAGAAGCCCCGGCUAACUCCGUGCCAGCAGCCGCGGUAAUACGAAGGGGGCUAGCGUUGUUCGGAAUCACUGGGCGUAAAGCGCACGUAGGCGGAUUGGUCAGUUAGGGGUGAAAUCCCAGAGCUCAACUCUGGAACUGCCUUUAAUACUGCCAGUCUUGAGUCCGAGAGAGGUGAGUGGAACUCCGAGUGUAGAGGUGAAAUUCGUAGAUAUUGGAAAGA